RNAcentral lists this ribosomal RNA (337 nucleotides) under Bacillus paranthracis. RNAcentral's name for it is "bacterial SSU rRNA". It matches the Rfam family "Bacterial small subunit ribosomal RNA", at positions 1 to 325 of the family's 1533-position model. Lineage: Bacteria; Bacillati; Bacillota; Bacilli; Caryophanales; Bacillaceae. The record is from RNAcentral.
UUUAUUGGAGAGUUUGAUCCUGGCUCAGGAUGAACGCUGGCGGCGUGCCUAAUACAUGCAAGUCGAGCGAAUGGAUUAAGAGCUUGCUCUUAUGAAGUUAGCGGCGGACGGGUGAGUAACACGUGGGUAACCUGCCCAUAAGACUGGGAUAACUCCGGGAAACCGGGGCUAAUACCGGAUAACAUUUUGAACCGCAUGGUUCGAAAUUGAAAGGCGGCUUCGGCUGUCACUUAUGGAUGGACCCGCGUCGCAUUAGCUAGUUGGUGAGGUAACGGCUCACCAAGGCAACGAUGCGUAGCCGACCUGAGAGGGUGAUCGGCCACACUGGGACUGAGAC